UUGGUCACAAAUUCCAAAUCCUACAGUCAUUAAGAAUAAGGUAGAAACUUUCAAGCUUCUAUAAAUGUUUCUUUUAUUAAUUUCUUCUAUAGAUUAGAGGUUACACAAGUCAUGAAUUGUGUCUCUCUGUUACAAAAAGAGAUAUACUACCAAGACUGAAGGAGUGCUAUAUGGUUAUUGUGGAUUGCCAUCGUUGGAGUCACAAAAUUGUGUGAUUGACUUCUGCCACAACAUCUCUGUUUCAUAUUGUAUUGUCGCAUUUAAUCAAUAGUGAAACAAUGAAGCUGGAAAUUCUAUCUCUAUUAUUUGCUUGAAUCAUCACACAAAUUCAAACUAGACUAGUCAUUUUGGAUCGACAUUAUCAUCUUUUUUAUUUUUUAUGUACCGUGUUCUUUUCUUUCACAACCAUCUUUUGCUAUGUUUCUGCAUAUUGUAUUAUUCUUGCACCAGAUUCGUGAAAAUAUAAGUCUGUCUGUUGUGCCGAUAUUGGACAUUGUACACGUCUUCAAUCUCUAAGUUUCGGUUCUACAUAAAAGUGUUCUAUAUCAAUAUGUAUUCAAGUCUGUCUCAAGGUUGAAAUUAUACCAUGCCUUAUUUUUUAAAAUUUCAAUGUAUAUAAUCUUUCAAUUUGUUCCUUUCUCAUUUAGUUUUUAAAAAUAUGAUUCAGUUGCUUAAUCAAAUUCUGAUUCCUUGACCAU
Molecule: long non-coding RNA, 698 nt
Filed under: Medicago truncatula (barrel medic)
Lineage: Eukaryota; Viridiplantae; Streptophyta; Magnoliopsida; Fabales; Fabaceae
Description: lncRNA gene15078
Source: RNAcentral